CAUUAUUCAAGGUACUAAAUAUUUGGACAUGUUUUGCAGGAUGAUAACUACCGGCUAGGUAAUAUUGGAAUAAUAUUUAUUAGAUCUAUUAUUGAAACAAUACAUAAUAUCAAUGAAAAUACAAUCAAACUGCGAUUCUUCUACAUUGGAAUUCAAUGCACUCAAGCA
Long non-coding RNA from Amphibalanus amphitrite, 168 nucleotides. RefSeq lists it as uncharacterized. NCBI's taxonomy places the organism in Eukaryota, Metazoa, Arthropoda, Thecostraca, Balanomorpha, Balanidae. The transcript is spliced from 2 exons. The record is from RefSeq and is a predicted model, not a curated record.